UCUGGUGACCAUAGGUACGGGGAAACACCGGUUCCCAUCCCGAACACCAGCGUUAAGCCCGUAACCGCCGAUGGUAGUGCCACCUCGAUGUGGUGUGAGAGUAGGUUAUCGCCAGGU
Molecule: ribosomal RNA, 117 nt
Filed under: Oceanipulchritudo coccoides
Lineage: Bacteria; Pseudomonadati; Verrucomicrobiota; Opitutia; Puniceicoccales; Oceanipulchritudinaceae
Source: RNAcentral